RNAcentral lists this long non-coding RNA (966 nucleotides) under Solanum tuberosum (potato). RNAcentral describes it as "long non-coding RNA (STUB_LNC003041)". Lineage: Eukaryota; Viridiplantae; Streptophyta; Magnoliopsida; Solanales; Solanaceae. The record is from RNAcentral.
UUGGUAAGUAUGCCAAAAACCUUGAGACACUUUCAGUGGCUUUUGCUGGCAGCAGUGACUGGGGUAUGCAGUGUGUGCUCGACGGCUGUUCUAAGCUGAGGAAGCUGGAGAUAAGGGAUUCUCCAUUUGGAAAUGCAGCACUUCUUUCUGGAAUGGGGAAGUAUGAAUCAAUGCGGUGUCUUUGGAUGUCAGCUUGCAGGGUCACCAUGAAUGGUUGUAGAAUACUUGCACAAGAGAGGCCUAGGUUGAAUGUCGAGGUAAUCAAAGAUGAGCACAGCGAUGAUUAUGCUGAUAAAUUAUACGUCUAUCGCUCUGUAGCAGGGCCACGAAAGGAUGCCCCACCUUUUGUUGUAACUCUCUAGCACAAAGAAACAGGAACUUUGGUAAGCUCCUUCCCUUGCUCUCCUCUGUCCUAUGCUUGCUAAAAUAACGUGGAGUGGAAAGAUGAUAUGCUGAUAAUGCUAAGUUUUAUUUUUAUCUGUAGGUGUGCACUGGGAUACCCUUCUAUUUCAGCUAGUUUUAUCUGCUACAUGCAUGAUGUUUGUAAAGGUGAACGAGAGAAAGUAAGUAAAUGAAUACCUCUCCUUAUGCUGCAUUUACUAUGUUUUACUUGGAGAAGCUUGAAAUUUUCAAGGAAGAUCAACAAAAGGGAUGUUUGUGCGCGCUCUUACUGAACUAAUGCAUUAUGAGAAAGAAACCAUGCGAAGAUUCUCUUACAGUUAGUGAGACCAAAUGAUCAUCACUCGUGGAGAAGCAGGAACUGGAACGAAUGAUCACAUGACGGAGUUGAUUAUGUCUGAGAAAACUAUCAGCAGAUGAAGAGUCCUGAAUCUCACAAGAACAAGCAAGAUGAAGAACGCUGGUUUGUUGAUUCGCGGAGUUUUUUCUUUUUCUUUUUCAAAACAAUAAGUAGCAUAAACAUAAAGAAAGAAAAAUGAAAGGAGUCUCAUGUAACUUGAAUGAUGG